RNAcentral lists this ribosomal RNA (229 nucleotides) under Penicillium guanacastense. RNAcentral's name for it is "partial 28S ribosomal RNA". It matches the Rfam family "Eukaryotic large subunit ribosomal RNA", at positions 1 to 226 of the family's 3401-position model. Lineage: Eukaryota; Fungi; Ascomycota; Eurotiomycetes; Eurotiales; Aspergillaceae. The record is from RNAcentral.
GGUUGACCUCGGAUCAGGUAGGGAUACCCGCUGAACUUAAGCAUAUCAAUAAGCGGAGGAAAAGAAACCAACAGGGAUUGCCCCAGUAACGGCGAGUGAAGCGGCAAGAGCUCAAAUUUGAAAGCUGGCUCCUUCGGGGUCCGCAUUGUAAUUUGCAGAGGAUGUUUCGGGAGCGGCUCCCAUCUAAGUGUCCUGGAACGGACCGUCAUAGAGGGUGAGAAUCCCGUAU